GGAUCAGUAUGUUGGUCGUGCUUCGGUACGUACUGUCAUUACUGGUUUCUCCCUUCUGAAGAACCUUGAUGUCAUUAAUUUGGUGUCUUGGGGAAUCAGGACUGUUACUUUGAAAAAAUUAGAGUGUUUAAAGCAGGCAUACGCUUGAAUACAUUAGCAUGGAAUAAUGAAAUAGGACGUUUGAUUCUAUUUUGUUGGUUUCUAGGAUCGACGUAAUGAUUAAUAGGGAUAGUUGGG
RNAcentral lists this ribosomal RNA (237 nucleotides) under Rhizophagus sp. (in: glomeromycetes). RNAcentral describes it as "Rhizophagus sp. (in: Fungi) partial small subunit ribosomal RNA". The stretch from base 37 to 237 matches the Rfam family "Eukaryotic small subunit ribosomal RNA", at positions 684 to 886 of the family's 1831-position model. The record is from RNAcentral. Lineage: Eukaryota; Fungi; Glomeromycota; Glomeromycetes; Glomerales; Glomeraceae.